Molecule: unclassified non-coding RNA, 416 nt
Filed under: soil metagenome
Description: partial contains 5.8S ribosomal RNA, internal transcribed spacer 2, and large subunit ribosomal RNA
Rfam family: 5.8S ribosomal RNA (bases 1-120)
Source: RNAcentral
GAUGAAGAACGCAGCGAAAUGCGAUAAGUAAUGUGAAUUGCAGAAUUCAGUGAAUCAUCGAAUCUUUGAACGCACCUUGCACUCCUUGGUAUUCCGAGGAGUACGCCUGUUCGAGUGUUAUGAAGCUCUCAAAACGCAAUUGGCUUAAAACCUGAUUGUUGUUUUGGAUUUGAACUUUGCCGUGUUAUAACGGCUGGUUUUAAAAGUAUUAGCUGGUACUAGAACGAAUUGGUUCUACUCAACGUGAUAAUUAUCUGAUCGUUGAGGAUAUUCCUUUCACGAGGAAUGGCCAUAGUAAAUUCAAUGGACUGCUUCUAAUCUGGCUUUAAUUCUUUAUUGGAUUAACCACUUUUCAAAUCUGACCUCGAAUCAGGUGGGACUACCCGCUGAACUUAAGCAUAUCAAUAAGCGGAGGA